Long non-coding RNA from Brassica rapa (field mustard), 10449 nucleotides. RefSeq lists it as uncharacterized. NCBI's taxonomy places the organism in Eukaryota, Viridiplantae, Streptophyta, Magnoliopsida, Brassicales, Brassicaceae. The record is from RefSeq and is a predicted model, not a curated record.
UACUAUAUAUAUCAUAAUCACAUUAGGUAAUUACUAUAUAUAUCAUAAUCACAUUAGGAAAUUUAUUACUAUAUAUAUAAUAAAUUUCAAUUUGAUAAAUGAAUGGUCCAUAAUGUACAUACUAUAUAAUAUAACAUUCUUUAACAAUUUAAUUUUGGACUAACAAAAUUCUCAAUUGAUUUUUAAGCCGCCACGUAAACAAAUUAACUUUUCAAUUACUUGACAACUCAACAUGACACUUUUUUUAACUAGUAUAAAAUACAUGUUAUAAACUUUUUAAAUGUUUUUCUAUUAAUAUAUAGGAGAUGUUAAACCAUUGAUCAUUAAUUUUUAACAUAAUAAUUUUAACAGUUUUAGUAAUUUUGUCGUUUUUUUUUAAUUUUAAAAAUAUAACAUAUAUGUAGAAAUUUAUAUUUUAAUUUUAUAGCUAUUUUGAUUGUUUAAUUUAUUUUAAUAAUAUAAAAUUAAACAAAAACGAUGGAUGAGAUAUAAAUUAUUAUCAAAUCUUUAUUAUUACAAUCAUUAAUUGUCAUAUAUAUAUAUAUUAGUCAUAUUUGAUAAUUUCGUAGCUUUUAUUUAAGGAAAGAAAAUAAAAUAGUAGUUGUAUACUUUAAUUAAUUUUAUGAUUAGUUUAUUGAAAAGUAUAAUAUAUACUUAAUUGGACCAACAUAUUUUCUAAAGUUUAUGAAUUUCAUUCUGAUGAUGACACGUGGCUACAUUUAAAGAUUGUAAUGUUUCUCGAUUAAUAUAUAAAGGAUAUUCAUAAUUGCAUAAUUGCACACACACAUCUUCCAAUGCACCGGCCAGUCCUUUUCACCCAACAGACUUCGGACCAACAUAUUACAUAUAAUUUAUAAUACACAACUUGAUAUUUUGAUAAUCAUCUUGAUGACUCCCUAAAUAUAUAAACAUUAUCUCCCUGUUUAUUUUGUCUUUCGCUACAUUUUUAUUCAAUAGUUUGAUACAAUUAUUGUUAUACGAUAAAGAUUAAAACCUUAAGUAAGAAAAUUGUCUACAUGUAUAAGAAUAUUACGUAAGAUAAAGUGACUAUUGCUGAUUGAUUAACAUCUAAUACAUCUUCACUCGUAAUAUAUUCGACUCAUUUCUAUGCUUUCAUUCAAAAUAUAUAUAUAUAUAUAUAUAUAUAUAUAUUGAAAUAAAAUUACCUAUAUAAGUUUUUCUGUUUUUGAAAAAUAUAUAGAAAUGGGGUUGAGAUGGUAUCGUUUUCUAAAAAAGAGGGUUUGAGAUGGUUUCAUUUGUCAGUUUUGAUAUAGAUAUGUAUCAUCCCAAACUUCUUAUAACCAUCUCUCAACUAAAAUAUCAUGUCUUGCAGAUCCUUUUAAUGUAAAAUACAUUGAUGUGAUAUUGUGAUUAAUCAUCUAUGCUCAAUACACAUAACGUAUGAAUACUUAGUUAAACUAUCUUUAAUAUACUCCUAUAUCUUAUUCUAAAAUAGAAAACUCUAUUUUAGCGUUCAUAUUUGAUGUAAUACAUGUCUUUAGAGCAUUUUUAACCUUACUUAAUUUUUUACUUUAAAAUAAAAUUUAGAGUAAAAAAUACUUUCACUUUAUAUUCACUCUAUAAAAUAGAGUAAAAAAUGGGUUUACUCUAUAUAUACAAUAAUAUAUUUAGUUUUUAUUCAUCACUCUAUUAAUUCCACCACUGAUUCUAAUGAUACUCUAUUUUGAAUAAAAAAUAGAGUGAUGAAUAAAAACUAAAUAUAGGGGGGGGGGGGGGACAAUUGACCCAUGUAAAGUUUUGCAAACAAAAAAAAAUACAUGUAUCUCUAAAGAAAAAUAUGAUGAAUUAAGCGAACUGACCCUUGCAAAAUUUAUUUUUUAUCAAAUUGACCUCUCAAAAAUAAAAUUCUGCAUACGCGACUGAUUAGAGUAUAACAUAAUUCUAUCAUAGCACUAUUCUAUUUUGAAGAAAAAAUAAAGUGAACUAUUAAAGAUGAUAUUAUGAAAGAGGAAUAAAUAGCACUUGUGCACAAAAAAGAAGAAUAAAUAGCACUCAUCUCUUAAAAAAAACAGAAGAACUUUGUUAUAAAGAAAUACAUCUUGGACGAAAUAUUAUUUUUAUAACAUGUCUUUUAUUUUAGAAGAAAAAUAUGUAGAUGGAGUUCCUUAAACCUAAGAACGAUUAGGUCAUAAGCUCAUGGCAUUAGUAUAUAUUAGUAAAGCAAUUAGUUUUUAAAUGACCAUGCCACGUGUCACCUCCAUAUUUCUCUAUUUGAUGACGUGUUUCUCUGAGAAGAGAGUCACCCUCUUCUUUAUAGUAUUAGAUAAAUAUAUAAUAGAUAUGGAUUAUGUAUUGGAUGUAGUUGGAAAGAACCAAAAAAAGUUUGGGUUGUAAAGGGAAAGCUUUUGUGGGGGUGAGAGGCGGCUUUUGGACAACGUAAAGAGCCGGUUUUCACUAACUUACCUUCGUGGAAUCUUCAAAGGCAUUUUGUUUUUCUUAGUUUUCUUCUUCUUCAUAUUUGUUUAAUUAGGAACUAAUACAUAACAAGGUAUAAUAACUACUAUGCUUUGUGGAUGAUGGCGUAGAAGCUCCAGUGAAAUAGACCAAUAACACGUUGGUUCCAUAAAUACAUGGGGGGGGGGGGGACAAUUGACCCAUGUAAAGUUUUGCAAACAAAAAAAAAUACAUGUAUCUCUAAAGAAAAAUAUGAUGAAUUAAGCGAACUGACCCUUGCAAAAUUUAUUUUUUAUCAAAUUGACCUCUCAAAAAUAAAAUUCUGCAUACGCGACUGAUUAGAGUAUAACAUAAUUCUAUCAUAGCACUAUUCUAUUUUGAAGAAAAAAUAAAGUGAACUAUUAAAGAUGAUAUUAUGAAAGAGGAAUAAAUAGCACUUGUGCACAAAAAAGAAGAAUAAAUAGCACUCAUCUCUUAAAAAAACAGAAGAACUUUGUUAUAAAGAAAUACAUCUUGGACGAAAUAUUAUUUUUAUAACAUGUCUUUUAUUUUAGAAGAAAAAUAUGUAGAUGGAGUUCCUUAAACCUAAGAACGAUUAGGUCAUAAGCUCAUGGCAUUAGUAUAUAUUAUAUUAGAUAAAUAUAUAAUAGAUAUGGAUUAUGUAUUGGAUGUAGUUGGAAAGAACCAAAAAAAGUUUGGGUUGUAAAGGGAAAGCUUUUGUGGGGGUGAGAGGCGGCUUUUGGACAACGUAAAGAGCCGGUUUUCACUAACUUACCUUCGUGGAAUCUUCAAAGGCAUUUUGUUUUUCUUAGUUUUCUUCUUCUUCAUAUUUGUUUAAUUAGGAACUAAUACAUAACAAGGUAUAAUAACACUACUAUGCUUUGUGGAUGAUGGCGUAGAAGCUCCAGUGAAAUAGACCAAUAACACGUUGGUUCCAUAAACAUACUUAUAUUAAAAAACAAUACAUAUAGUCUACUUACCAUUCGUUAAUACUAGCGUAAUUUCAAACUAAAAAACAUGAAAAAUCUAAUGAUGUUCUUUGGAUUACAAAAUCAUAUACGUCAUUGUUAAUUAUGAUCCAGGUAUACUCGGUGUUAGUAGCUCAACCGGUGUACUAGUUGACAAUUUAAACUAAAAUAAUAUUGGUGAAAUCCCAAAUUCAAAAGCGACGGUUUAUAUACAACUUAAUCUACCACAUAAUUCAUAGGACAUUUAUCUAUAAUAAUCGAUUGCUUAUAUCUAUAAAAAGUUGAAUUCAGACCCUAGGCUGUACUGUACAUCAACAAUUACAACUCUCAAUUUCUUGUAAAAUGAGACUUGUCAAAAUUUUAUCCCAAACAAAAAAAAGAAGAAAUAUCGUUUGAAAUGAGGAUAGAUAUUUGUUUGGACAUAAGUGAUUUGGAGAUCUUACGAAGUGGGAACAACUUAAAAUAUACAUUCCGACCAACCAUCAACCAUAACAAAAAUAUCUAUAAAUACAACGUAUCUAUAUAUUUUUAUAACUGGUAGAAUCACACCACAGUUGAACCGCUUAUCCUGCAUCAUUCAAUCCAUAAUUACCAUUCAGAGCCUUAAUAUUUUUAGUUUUGUCCAUUAUUGUUGGGAUUGUGAAAUCUCGUGUCCAACUCUUUAUUAUCCGAUUAGUACGAUAUUGUCCACUUUGGACCUAAUUGGCAAGCCCGCAUGGAUUUACUUUUGGUUUCCAUCCCAAAAGGCCUCGUACUAAUUAGAGUUGGACAUCUCUUUAUAUAUUAGACACUCUUUGUCUAAUUCUCCAAUGUGGGACUUAGUUUGUUAUCUCACAUUCUCCCCUUCAAACUAAGGAUCACAUUCAUCUCGUGUCUCACAACUGACUUCCAAGAUCUUCUGACUUGAUUUCUGCCACACACCUCUCAUUCCUAACUCAUAGGAUACCCAUUCAUCACUCAUUCAUCAUUCAAAGGGUAUUUCGGUCUUUCUUGCAGAUUUCUCGUCAACUGCGCUCUGAUACCAAUUGUUGGGAUUGUGAAAUCCCGUGUCCAACUCUUUAUUAUCCGAUUAGUACGAUAUUGUCCACUUUGGACCUAAUUGGCAAGCCCGCAUGGAUUUACUUUUGGUUUCCAUCUCAAAAGGCCUCGUACUAAUUAGAGUUGGACAUCUCUUUAUAUAUUAGACACUCUUUGUCUAAUUCUCCAAUGUGGGACUUAGUUUGUUAUCUCACAUCCAAGUUUCUAAUCUAUAUCAUCAACAACAACAAACCCCUCUUAGGUUAUGAAUGAGAGGCAGGAGAAAUGCAGAUCAUCUGCUGUUGUAGGAGAAUUGUACUUGAAUCAUCCAUUCUCCAUUUUCUGUUUUAAAAAUUUGUUUUGCAGAGAUUCGCAAGCCGUCCAAUUUUUUUGUCUUUUUUAAAAAAAAAACAGAUAUUCUACAUGUAGAUUUGUCCACUAGACAUUUGGAGCUGUUCACCAAUUUUUAUUUUUUGGACCAAUAAAUGAUUUUAUUACAAAUAGUUAAUAUAUUUAAUAUUAUUCUAUAAAUAAUACAUUUUCAUUCUAUUUUGCUUACAUCUUUUACUAUACAAAUAAAUUUAACACUUAUCUAAAUUAUUUAUAUGAUGUGUGUUCUGAAUUAUGUAAAUAUAUAAUAUUGUAGUUUAAAUAUAUAUAUAUUUAUUAAUUGCAUAAAGACAUAUUUGGUUAAUCACUAAUUUUUCAUAUUUUAAUUUUUAAAAUAUGGUUACAUAACUUUAGUGAAAUAUUUAUUGUCAUGUAUGUAUUGUAUCGACACAUUAUGUAUUUUAUUGUAAUUUUUAUUAUUUAGUUAUAUCAUUUAUUCUUAAAUUGCUUUUGUCAUUAUAAACUAUAAUCAAUGUUUUGGAAACCGGACUAGUGAAACGGUGGAUCAACCGGUCGGACUAUGACUCGUUCUUCUAACUAGUUUUGGGUUGUGUUAAAAUCAGAUUUAAUAUAAACCGAUAAAUUCAGUCAAAAACCGGUCAAACUCGCUAAAAUCGUGACCUGGUUUGAUAUUAAAAUCUAGAUUUCUUAAAUUCAAGUUUUAAAAAAUCAUAGAAAAAUCAUAUUAUUUCCUAAUAUGUAUAUAAAUAAAUUAGUUUUAGUCAUAUUUUAUAUCAUUUUCUAAAAAUAUAUAUAUUAUUUAUAUCAUUUUAGAUUUUAACAAUAAUAUAAAAUUGUAUCAAAAUAACUUACAGCUAUACUAGCUAUAAUGAUUGUAAUAAAUUGUUUGAUCCGCUUGAUCUCUUUUUCUCUCACAUGAUCUCUUUGAUCUGUAGUUGAUCCGCUUAAUCUGCUCUGCUUGAACUGUUUUUACCUUUCAAAGCCUUAGUUUUCACAAUCUUUGUAAAAAUGAAUAGUGAACACGAAAAGAGAAUUAUAAUUUAUACUAGUAUAUAAUAAUGAGCUGGAAAAGUAUAAACGAAUGAGCUUUAUUUGCUACAUGCGAUUUAUAGUUUGCUAGUUCGAAAUAGACAUGUAUUUUGAUUCAUGUUUAAAAGAAAUAAAAUAACUAUUUUAAAAAUAAUUUUCCAUGCUUUUGGUUUUAAAUUGGAAUAUUAAAAGUUGGUAUUCCGCAAUCUGAAGAUUUUAAUGAACAUUUUCUAGAAUACUGGGACGUGAAAGUGGGGUUUAUUCACAUCCUCCAACUUUCAAUACAUUUAAUUAAUGUCUAAUCAUGAUUUCGUGGAAGUAAUGUUUAUGUAUUACUUUUAUGGAAGUGAGGUAGUUAUACUCUUUACAUGUUUAUUUUGAAAUACUCGUUUUGUUUUUUAAAAAGUUUUACUUUAACAUUUUAUCUUUGUUACAUAAAAAUAUUAUUUUAGAAUUCCAAUAUAUUUUAUACUUAACUUCAUAUAAAAAAAUUAUUUAUUUCAAACAUUGUUAGUUUAAAAAAAUUAUAUUAAUGAAUACAUAAAUAUAUUUUAAUAUUUUUAAUAUGUAAAAAGUGUUUAAGUGAUACUCUUUAUACUAAGCAUGUGCAUUCGAAUACCCAAUCGGGUUCGGAUAGGGUAAUUCGGAUAUCGAGUUUUACGGGUUUUGAAAAAAGUCCCAUUCGGAUAUUUUAAAAACUCAGGUCGGAUUCGAGUCAGAUCUUCUCGGGUUCAGGUGGGUACGAAUGUUAAAAAAAAACCCGAAAAUUCCCGCGGUUAUCCAUUAUACACGGUUCGGGUCCGGAUAAUUACAUCCAAAGUAACCAAACAUGCUUGUUAUUUAUCCAAAUAUCCAAAGUUACAUGAGUAGAAAUGAGUUGAAAAUGGAAAAAAUGAGUUGAAAAUGAAGAACAUGAGUUAGCAUUAUGUUAAUAUAAAGUCGAGAUUAUGAGUUCAAAAACAAACAAAUAACAUAAAUUAAAAACAACAACAUUCAUAGAAAAUGAGUUCAACCACAACAACAAAACCAAACAAAGAAGCAUACUCCGAAAAUGAGUUCAAGAUCAUUAACAACUAGAGCAACAACAAAGACCAAACAUAAAACAACAAUCCUUCAAGAUCCAAACUUCAACAGAAAAACUUCUCCAUACUCCAAAACUUGUCCUGCAACAAAAGAAUAAACUUAUAUUAGCAAAUAAAAAUGAUCAACCAACCUCAAAGCUCAAUCCAUAAAGUAUCUUAAGCGGCUUUACCUUGUAAGCAAAGAACAAAAACAGAUACCACGAACUCUCUUAGUCUUCGUUCAAGUUCAGAUUAUCAUACUCUGAAAAAGUUAAUAUAAUUAGUAAACAUAUUGAAAAAACUAACAUAUAAGAUUAGAGAAGAAAAUUACCUCUCUUAAGCUUAUCUUCAUAUUGAAAAUCAGUGAGAAUUUGUUCAAUUGUCACCAGUCUAGCAUCACCACAUCGAAUGCCUGCCUUGAGUCAUUGCUCUGAGCACAUCAAAACUUCAACCAUAUAAUGAGUAAGACAGCUCCUGUAUGAAUCUAUGAAUCGAACACUAGUGCUAAAAACACUCUCGAAAGCAACUGAUGAGACUUGCAUUACAAGUAUCUCUUGCCAUUUUUGCAAGAACCAACAACUUUUCACAAUUGAACUUCCACCAAGACAAAACAUCAUACUCAACUCCAACCAUGACUUUCGAAUUGACAACACUCUCUCUAAGGUAGGUAUCCAACUCAUCCCUAGAUUCACGAUCUUCUAUUUUCCCAACCAACUCCUCAUACAUGAAAUCUAUCCUCUCGUAACCCAUCUCAUUGUUGAUCAAAUUGAUUCUUUCGAAAGAGGGUUGCUCUUGGCUACCAAAAGAUGCAGCUAGAUUGGUUUGAGACCCUUGCACUGCUUCACCUCUAUUAGACCGAGCACUAUACUCCUUAAACAUGUAGCGCAAAACAUCAAUCACUGACUGAUACAUCUCCUUGGAAUCUAAACUUUCUUUUCCAUAGAGUUUCUCAAAACACAUUUUAGCAAACUGCUUCUUCUUUCUAUGAUCAAAAACUGUUGCUACAAUCAACAUCUUGUUGAUUUUCUUCAUACCAUCCCAAUAAUUAUCAAACUUCCUAAGCAUAUCUUCAGAUUUUGGCUUCAAACCCAGGUAUAUAUUAUUACUCAACCCCAUCAGAUUCUUCUGGAUUGUUACAAUCUCACCAUAGCACUUAUAGGAGUUCAGAGAUGUGCUUGCGGACACAACCAAUUUGGAGUUGUAGAAGAUGAUCAGAAACCUUACUAAACUCUCAAUGCCAGUUAACCACAGCAGGAGGUCCAACUUGUUGUGCUCCACCUUCUAACUCCAUGAAAUAGUCGUUGUAAAGCAUGUCCUUCGCCUCCAUCUUGUCAAACACUAACCUGAACUCAAGUGCUUUCGACAUCAUCAAGUAAGUUGAAUUCCAUCUAGUUUUAAAAUCCAGUGGCAAACUACCCCUUUUCAGUUUUCCCGAAUAAACCCGGAGCUCAAAUGACCUCAAUCUAGACGUACGAGACCUAAUAUACCCAGCUGCAUUACGAAUUGCUGAGACAUUCUCAUCCACUUCAGCCAAACCAUCUUUAAUGAUCAAGUUUAUGAUGUGUGCUGCACAUCACAUAUGCAUAAAUUCUCCAUCCGUAACAAGGCUUCAUUUGAAAGUAAGGAGAAGCUACUCUGAAAUUUCCUAAGCGCAGAGGUAUUUGCAGUUGCAUUAUCAACAGUUAUGCAAAAAAUCUUUUGUAUUCCCCUUUCAGCCAAACAAUCUAGAAGCACAGUUGAAAUGGUCUGACCUUUGUGGUAUGUGAUGUACUUGUAACCGAUGAUCAACCUCAUUAGCUGCCACGAAGCAUCCACAAAAUUAAGUGUGACUACCAUAGAACUCACACCUACAGUACCAAAAAUGAGUUAUUAUAGUAGAACAAGCUCAUCGAUUCAAAAACAGAAUAAGCCAUUACACAUUACAUGUUGUUUGAGCAACCCAUAUGUCAGUGGUAAGCGAAACUCGUUGUUUAUUAGCCUUGAACCAUGCUUUCAAUAUCGCUUUCUUUUCGACAUACAAUUUAACAAUGUCUCUUGUUUCCGUGCUCAUAGAGUGUGGCUUGAGUUCGAUUAUCUUGUUGCAGAAGUGCUUCCAAGCCAUACUCUCAACAAAUGAGAGUGGCAUUUCCCCAAUCACACCCAUCUCGUUUGUUGCCUCUCUGAAUUGAGUCUUAGAAACUCUAGUAUACCUCACUGCUCUAUCGUCGUCAAUGGUUGCCUGAUUCUUUUUUCGUCAUGCUUCCCAUGCCAGAUACAAUUUGCUGGUUGUAAGAUGAUUGUCCAGGUUUGAAGUACCAGAUUUUGAUGCACAAGCAAAACUCCUCUUGCAGUGGUGACAAAAGCAUCUGUCUCGAUUCCCUUUGGUCCGAGUGUAAUGCUCCCAAAUACGGGACUUUGGGCUCAUAACCUUUGCUUCCUUUGCUGGCUGAGAAGUAGCUCCACUUGAAUUCACAAACGUCUUCCUCUCUCCCCUGUUGCCAUGAGUGAUAAGCUCUUCAUGUGUUUCUUCAAGAACAAAGUCUUUUUCUUUGUCAUUGUUGUUUGGAUUAAGCGAUGCUGAAGAAUGUCUUUGUGAAAACAAAUACAAUCAAUUCAGAAAUAACGAGAAAAUAUAAAAUUUGUUUAAGAUCAAUUGCCAUAAAAGUAAGAACAAUCGAUUGCAAAAAAAAAUAACAACAAUUGAUUGCAAAACAAAUAAGAACAAUCGAUUACGGAUUUACGGUUUACAAAUCUAUUAAACUAAUAUAGAACAAUCGAGAACAAUCUAUUAAGCAAUUACAAUCGAUUAGGGAUUAGUUUACCUUAGGCCUAUUUGAAAAGGUUUUUGAGUGAUGAAAUUGAGAAUAUGAACUCAUGCAAUCGGAACUCUCCAUAUUUAUAUGGAAUCAAAUUCGACAGUCGAGACAAGCGUGCAAAAGAGACUCUACGAUCUAAGGAGAUAGAGACUAUUCGUUCUUCUGUGGUGUUACCGCGUGAGAAGACAGAGACUCUUCGUUCUUCGUCGGCCGAACUCGACACACGAGAGUAUUUUCGUCGGCCGAACUCGACACACGAGAGUAAUGAAGAGAAGUAAUGAACAUGAGUAACGUUAUUAAUGAGGUAUAUUUCGGAUCCCGGGUUUUAACCGAACCGAUCCGUUAUCCGAGAGUAUCAAACAAAAGACUCUAAUUCGGGGUUUUAACAAAACCGAAACCGAACCGAACUGUUUUCAGGUCGGUACUGGUUCGGUUCCGCGGGUAUGGUUCUAAUGCCCAGACCUACUUUAUACAAUGGAGAGAGUAAGAUAUAGAAUGACUAAAGUCAAUCAAUGAAAUGAGCAUAAAUAACAUUAGUGAGAUUUGUGUUUAAUAGCAUGAGCAGCCACAAUUUUCGAUGGGUCCAAUAUAGUUUCAUCACCUCCUCCACUUAAGUCAUGGGAGUCCACUUGAUGUAACAAAAAAUUAGUUAUUAAGAAUUGGGAAAAUUGUUUUUUUUAGAGCAAAAAAAAUGAUAACUAUGUCUCUUUAGACUAAUCUCAUAUACUUUAUGUCUCAUUAGGCUAAUUAUUUUUAAAAUGGCAAUAAUGCCCUUAACGUUGUAAUUUUUUGUUUUUUUUUGUUUUUUUUUUU